This 67-nucleotide transfer RNA is filed under the name Hiratettix distanti. RNAcentral's name for it is "tRNA-Trp". Lineage: Eukaryota; Metazoa; Arthropoda; Insecta; Hemiptera; Cicadellidae. The record is from RNAcentral.
AAGACUUUAAGUUAAAAACUAUUAGCCUUCAAAGUUGAAAAUACUUAWAUACCAAAAGUAAGUCUUA